AGGUACAUACGGGACUUUGGGGGCGGGUUUUGGCGGGAAAAUCUGUAAUGUUUGGAGAAGACAAGAUGGCGCUGGUUACCUCGUGUCAUAUCAAAGGGCAUUUUUGUUCACAAAUACCCGCUUAUUUUACGUUAUAGCGACUGGUUCGUUUUGGAAAUUAUAACUGAAUGGACGGGGAAAAUGAUUCUGUAUUAAAGAGAAAAUGAUGUGCAGUUAUUGUGAUGUUAUUUGUUGUGAAAGACGGCCCGAAAUUUCGCUACUUCGCAGUACUGGUUUAUAAAACAUUUACAAGCAACAGCAAUUGAACUAUAUGACAAAGAAACCAAUGUAUACAAGCCAAUCAAGUUCUUCAGUUUAAAGGUCUGUUUACUUUUUAAUAAUUAGUUCAUUUAGUUGUACAUUAAUACGAAGUACUGGAACAGUACGCCUAGCCACAGAAUAGGAAGGUAUACCCAUUGAACUAAAAAUAACUGGAACGAUACCUCCAGCCUAGCCUGCGUAGCAGUCGCUUUAUUUUAUUGUAGGUUUUGAGGAUUUUUGAAUAAGUGGCGAGUUAGAAAAAUGGACGAAGAAAAAAAAAGGGCGAAGGAAAAAUAAAGUGCCUACAACCGUCCUAAAUAAAAAUUAAUUCCGCCACUUACUUGAAAUUUCCGGCCACACUAAAACAACCAACCAAUCAGACACGAGACGCAAGUAUGAAGUGAAGUGGCGGCGUAAUUAUGUAAUGAAAACAAACAGAUAUCGCGCACAUAAGAUCUACGGGCCGGCUCAAUGAAUUUUAGUUCAAGGAUGAGCGCUAAGCAAUUUGAUUACUGUAAUAAAUGUUUGAAGCUUUCUCAAAUAACCUCAAAAAUGACUAAGCUCGGCUAAAGCGAUGCAAUGUUUGCUGUAAUUUCGACUUUAAGUAACACCUCUUGGGUCGGUUAAAGGUGCUCUACAGUCCGUAUGUAAACAAAGCCAAACGUUUUGACUUUAGGCCAUAUUUUCGCAAAGCCAAAAGAUCCUGUUGAAAAAAAUCAGAAGACUCAUGCUAUAUAUUCUAUACCAUGCGGUGACUGCGACAAAGAGUAUUUGGGUCAGUCUAAACGCCAGUUUGGUACACGGCUAAAAGAACAUCAAAAGGCUGUUUCAACUUUAGACAAGGGAAAAUCAGCUUUAGCCGAACAUGUAUGUUACACCAAACACAAAAUGGCGUGGGAAAACUCUAAAGUAAUUACCACAAACAAUCGCUAUGGUCAAAGACUUUGCCUAGAAGCGUGGCAUAUAAAUAUGAGUCAUCAUGCUUUGAAUAGGGAUGACGGCGCCUAUUUGCCAGAGAAAUAUAUGCAUCUUCUUGGCAGGUGACGUCAUCCCUUGGGUAUUUAAGAAGACACGAUCGCAGUUUUAGAUCACCCCUGAUGAAGACACUAGACUGGAGUGUCGAAACGUUGGGUCUUGAUUACAAUUCGACUGGGCUUUGUAAUCAUUUAUUUAAACCAGAGUAGUGAGCGAAACAUGAUUGAUAUACCUGGUUGCAGUGAACGAACAAACUUUAUAUAAAGAAAUGUGUUAAAGUUAUCAAGUUUUACGGUUGAAUGAGAAUAAUAUAAACAUUCAUAUAAUAUCAAUACCUCUACAUCGUGUCUUUGUCCAUUUCGACUAUGGCUUGGUGGAAAUUUGUAAAAUAUCCCUAAUUCACCCCCAGUCUGCAUUUUAUCCUCAGUCUGCAUUUUAUACCCCCAGUCUGCAUUUUGUACCCGGUCUGCAGUCUGCAGAUUAUACUGACCGCUUACGGUAGCCAUUAAUUUUGGAGGUUGGUAAAUUCGUUCUUAAUUAAAGUUUUUUGUAACAGGUUAGCGAGAAAACAUUUCAACAAGUUUACAAGCGAGAUCUUGCUGAUUUAUGAAAAUCCUGAAAAGUUACUGCGGCGCUAUACCAUGCCCAAAAUAAGCAGUUUGUGGAAAAAUAUUGAAAGCAUGUGUGCUAUCAUACCCUGGAUUCCAGAGCCUUCGACAAUAAAUAAUAAAUUGAAACAUCGCGAAGGCUCUGGUUCAACGGGAAGAUUCUUUGAUUAAACUGUGCCAAUCACAAAACAGAAUUAGUGGUUUUAGUAAUUAGUACAGAUUCUGUACUAACAGCACUAAUUCUGUUCUGUGAUUGACACGGUUUAUAAAUCAAAGAAUCUUCCUGUUGAACCAGAGCUUUCGCAAUGUUUCAAUUUAUUAUUUGCUGUCAAAGGCUUUGGAAUCCAGGGUAGUGCUAUCGUAACAAAAGAGGAACAUUUGGUUGCUUUUUGAAAUGAAAUAGAACAUAUAAUUAUAUCAUUUUAAUGACUUGCUUCUGAUUUUCAGAGAGGUCUUGGAAACAUUAUUAAUUGUUGAUACUUUUGAAAUAUUCAGCAACUUGCCGAUGAAAUUUUUAUAAAAUAUUGCCAUAAAAUAUAACAUUCUAAGGCUAUAUAUAUAUUGAUACUAUUGAUACUAUAGUGCUGUUCCAACGUACAAUAAUGUGAAAAAAGAAAAGAAAAAAAGAGAUGAAAAAGUUUUUUCAUCAAGUGAGAAAAAUUUCCGGAGAAACUUUCCAAAAUUGUUGUCGCUCCAAUAUUGUUUAGGUCCAUUUUUUUAAGUAUUUUAUAAAGCGUAUGCUAUGUAUGUGCUAAGAAGCUAGUUUUGUUGGCAUGUGGAAAGCAAAAGUAGCGAAGGUAAAGAGAUUAAAAUUGGAUUUAGUGCGUAUUUUUGAAAAAAUUUUACCGUCCCCCCCCGUCGAUGACACUUGUGACGUCAGGUACAUACGGGACUUUGGGGGCGGGUUUUGGCGGGAAAAUCUGUAAUGUUUGGAGAAGACAAGAUGGCGCUGGUUACCUCGUGUCAUAUCAAACGGCAUUUUUGUUCACAAAUACCCGCUUAUUUUACGUUAUAGCGACUGGUUCGUUUUGGAAAUUAUAACUCAAUGGACGGGGAAAAUGAUUCUGUAUUAAAGAGAAAAUGAUGUGCAGUUAUUGUGAUGUUAUUUGUUGUGAAAGACGGCCCGAAAUUUCGCUACUUCGCAGUACUGGUUUAUAAAACAUUUACAAGCAACAGCAAUUGAACUAUAUGACAAAGAAACCAAUGUAUACAAGCCAAUCAAGUUCUUCAGUUUAAAGGUCUGUUUACUUUUUAAUAAUUAGUUCAUUUAGUUGUACAUUAAUACGAAGUACUGGAACAGUACGCCUAGUCACAGAAUAGGAAGGUAUAC
Molecule: non-coding RNA, 3213 nt
Organism: Paramuricea clavata
Lineage: Eukaryota; Metazoa; Cnidaria; Anthozoa; Malacalcyonacea; Plexauridae
Source: the annotation of a GenBank genome assembly